RNAcentral lists this long non-coding RNA (1814 nucleotides) under Mytilus galloprovincialis (Mediterranean mussel). The record is from RNAcentral. Lineage: Eukaryota; Metazoa; Mollusca; Bivalvia; Mytilida; Mytilidae.
CAUAAAAACACAAAGGAACAACAAAGGGUUUAUUGACCCUGGUUUUUUUAUAUACAAAAACAGAGUGUUGGUACCUGAUUCUGCCGGAUCAACAGAGAGAGAAAAUUCAUCUAACACAAGUUCAGCCAAGCAAGUAUCACCUUCACCUUCAGACAAAGCUGCUCAGGAUUCACCUUCACUUUCAGUCAGGUCUACUAAGCAGUUAUCAUCCGUUGUGAUUUCUAACCGGCAGUCAGCUUCUUCAGAUGUGAAUCCCACUAAGCACCUAGGCUCUAAUUCCGUAGUUUCAGUCCGUCUGGUAUCAUCACCCACUCCAUCUAUAUCACUAAUUUCAUCUGUUCUAGCAGCUACAGGCAACCCUUCUAAUGAGGAUGAUGGACCUGAGUUUACAGUGUCAGUUCCGAGGAAGUUCCCAACCACUUCAUCUAGAAUUUCUUUGUCUGAUUAUCAGAAAAGAUCUUACACUACUUCUACCGCUACUACUGCACAGAACAGAACAGAUAUACCACUUCUACAGAUACUACGUCAACAUAUACUACUUCCACGGACACUACUGCAACAUAUACCACUUCUACAGUUACUACAUCAACAGAUACCACUUCUACAGAUACUACUGCAACAGAGACUACUUGUACAGCUACUACUUCAACAGCUAUUGAUAGGACUUAUAAUACCUCCUUUGGGUAUUCUGCCAUUGCUAUUACUGAAAGUUCCAGCCAGACGUCCUGCCUGGAUUACCCUCCGAUUCAGCUGCCUGCCAUCCCAGAGAGUGAGACUGAGUUAUCUUUAUAUCUUUUAUUCCUAUCAAAUAGUAUGGACUCUCUGGGAAGGACGAGGCAGGUUGCUAAGGAAAGGUUAGAGACUAUCAGGAAAGAGGGUUCCAAACUUGAGGUCGAAAGAAAGAAGAGGAGAGAGGUUGAGGUGGAGAAUCGCCGUUUACUCACAGAACUUGCCGAAUUAAAAUGGAAGGACCAGCAAUUCAGACAUAUGGAACCGUAAUUCUUUUGUUUUGUGGAACUAUAGUUAUUAUAUAUGGACUGACUUAUUGUGAAAUUGUUGAGUGUUCAUUAUUUAUAUAUUUAUUAAGAAAGUUGGUUGGAAAAGUUAAUUGACUGUAUUUUGUUGAAUUUGAAAUUGAAAUAUGUGAUAAAAAUUUCUAAGAAUUCAAAUUGAUUUAAGAAAUUUAAAUAGAAAUCAAGGUAAAUAGUUUUGGAAAUGAAAUUUUUUAUUGAUUUUCUUUGAUGUUAAUUAAGUGCUAAAGUUAAACAUAAUUAAGGACUUGGUAAAAUCUACUUACAUGCUUUCAUAUUAUAUGUACUUUGAUCUAUUCUAUUGAAUAUUUUAUCGUUGGACUAAUGUCGUCCCGACAUUAGGUCUUAAGAGAGGGGGAGUGUAAUGGUGGUUGGUUUUACCUUAUAAAUUAUUCAUAUUAAAAACCACUUUGAAAAAGUAUAAUAGCUUCUAAACUGCCGUACUGGCCGUAGCUAGUUAUGAGGUUACCGGGCCUACCGGUCUUCUUCCGGUAGGACCGGCCCGUGCCGGUCUGAUGACGUCAGACUAUAGUUUUGCGUUCUGCACUUACGAACUGACUGAGAAAGAAGAAAACACUGAACAUCACCUUCUUCAGGUUGAUAUUUUUAUUAAGACUACGUUUGUAACCACCAUUAUGUCUCAUUUCGCCAUUCUAAACAUUUAAAGUAUUAUUAUUCAUUGUAAACUGUGCUUAAAUUAUUUGGCUGAUAUUAAAUCUAUAUUAUUAUUAACGACGUAUUCUGUUUUCUAAUAUUCCGUGAACUCGGGAAAACUCAUUCCCG